RNAcentral lists this long non-coding RNA (201 nucleotides) under Malus domestica (apple). RNAcentral describes it as "long non-coding RNA (MDOM_LNC015678)". Lineage: Eukaryota; Viridiplantae; Streptophyta; Magnoliopsida; Rosales; Rosaceae. The record is from RNAcentral.
ACCAACAUGGUUAGUGGGGAGUGAGAUUGAAAUACUUGCUUUUAGUCUAAGUUUAUUUUUAAUUUUUAAUUUUUGUUUUAAGUAAAGUAAGUUAUUAUUGUGAAAAAAGUAAUAAUUGUCUCACCCGAGGUUUUGCCUAGUAACCGGGCCAGUCCUGCCUAAUCAGCAGUGAUUCUCGCGUCAAACGGUAGAGUUUUGGCA